This 1316-nucleotide ribosomal RNA is filed under the name uncultured Alphaproteobacteria bacterium. Its description in RNAcentral is "uncultured alpha proteobacterium 16S ribosomal RNA". It matches the Rfam family "Bacterial small subunit ribosomal RNA", at positions 33 to 1396 of the family's 1533-position model. Lineage: Bacteria; Pseudomonadati; Pseudomonadota; Alphaproteobacteria. The record is from RNAcentral.
ACGCUGGCGGCACGCCUAACACAUGCAAGUCGAACGAAGUAGCAAUACUUAGUGGCAGACGGGUGAGUAACAUGUAGGUAUCUGCCCUUUGGCCUGGAAUAACACGAGGAAACUUGUGCUAAUACCGGAUAAGUCUUUACGGAGAAAGCUUUAUGCACCAUUGGAUGAGCCUGCACUUGAUUAGUUUGUUGGUGGGGUAAUGGCCUACCAAGACUGUGAUCAAUAGCUGAUUUGAGAGGAUGAUCAGCCACAUUGGGACUGAGACACGGCCCAAACUCCUACGGGAGGCAGCAGUGGGGAAUCUUGCACAAUGGAGGAAACUCUGAUGCAGCGAUGCCGCGUGAGUGAAGAAGGCCCUUGGGUUGUAAAGCUCUUUCGUCGGGGAAGAAAAUGACUGUACCCGAAUAAGAAGGUCCGGCUAACUUCGUGCCAGCAGCCGCGGUAAUACGAAGGGACCUAGCGUAGUUCGGAAUUACUGGGCUUAAAGAGUUCGUAGGUGGUUGAAAAAGUUAGUGGUGAAAUCCCAGAGCUUAACUCUGGAACUGCCAUUAAAACUUUUCAGCUAGAGUAUGAUAGAGGAAAGCAGAAUUUCUAGUGUAGAGGUGAAAUUCGUAGAUAUUAGAAAGAAUACCAAUUGCGAAGGCAGCUUUCUGGAUCAUUACUGACACUGAGGAACGAAAGCAUGGGUAGCGAAGAGGAUUAGAUACCCUCGUAGUCCAUGCCGUAAACGAUGUGUGUUAGACGUUGGAAAUUUAUUUUCAGUGUCGCAGGGAAACCGAUAAACACACCGCCUGGGGAGUACGACCGCAAGGUUAAAACUCAAAUGAAUUGACGGGGACCCGCACAAGUAGUGGAGCAUGUGGUUUAAUUCGAAGAUACGCGCAGAACCUUACCAACACUUGACAUGUUCGUCGCGACUCUAAGAGAUUAGAGUUUUCGGUUCGGCCGGACGAAACACAGGUGCUGCAUGGCUGUCGUCAGCUCGUGUCGUGAGAUGUUGGGUUAAGUCCCGCAACGAGCGCAACCCUCACUUUUAGUUGCCAUCAUUAAGUUGGGCACUCUGAAAGAACUGCCAGUGAUAAGCUGGAGGAAGGUGGGGAUGACGUCAAGUCCUCAUGGCCCUUACGUGUUGGGCUACACACGUGCUACAAUGGUAUUUACAACAGGAAGCAAGACUGCGAAGUUAAGCAAAUCCCUAAAAGAUACCUCAGUUCGGAUUGCACUCUGCAACUCGAGUGCAUGAAGCUGGAAUUACUAGUAAUCGUGGAUCAGCGUGCCACGGUGAAUGCGUUCCCGGGUCUUGCACACACCGCCCG